This 253-nucleotide ribosomal RNA is filed under the name uncultured bacterium. Its description in RNAcentral is "partial 16S ribosomal RNA". It matches the Rfam family "Bacterial small subunit ribosomal RNA", at positions 524 to 776 of the family's 1533-position model. The record is from RNAcentral.
UACGUAGGGAGCAAGCGUUGUUCGGAUUUACUGGGCUUAAAGGGCGCGUAGGCGGGCUGUCAAGUCUGGGGUGAAAUGCCGCGGCUCAACCGUGGAACUGCCUUAGAUACUGACGGCCUCGAGGAAGGUAGGGGCAUGCGGAACUGUAGGUGGAGCGGUGAAAUGCGUUGAUAUCUACAGGAACUCCGGUGGCGAAAGCGGCGUGCUGGACCUUUUCUGACGCUGAGGCGCGAAAGCUAGGGGAGCAAACGGG